RNAcentral lists this ribosomal RNA (2240 nucleotides) under Salmonella enterica subsp. enterica serovar 4,[5],12:i:-. Its description in RNAcentral is "bacterial LSU rRNA". It matches the Rfam family "Bacterial large subunit ribosomal RNA", at positions 657 to 2925 of the family's 2925-position model. Lineage: Bacteria; Pseudomonadati; Pseudomonadota; Gammaproteobacteria; Enterobacterales; Enterobacteriaceae. The record is from RNAcentral.
AUAGGGGAGCCGGAGGGAAACCGAGUCUUAAUUGGGCGUUAAGUUGCAGGGUAUAGACCCGAAACCCGGUGAUCUAGCCAUGGGCAGGUUGAAGGUUGGGUAACACUAACUGGAGGACCGAACCGACUAAUGUUGAAAAAUUAGCGGAUGACCUGUGGCUGGGGGUGAAAGGCCAAUCAAACCGGGAGAUAGCUGGUUCUCCCCGAAAGCUAUUUAGGUAGCGCCUCGUGAAUUCAUCUCCGGGGGUAGAGCACUGUUUCGGCUAGGGGGCCAUCCCGGCUUACCAACCCGAUGCAAACUGCGAAUACCGGAGAAUGUUAUCACGGGAGACACACGGCGGGUGCUAACGUCCGUCGUGAAGAGGGAAACAACCCAGACCGCCAGCUAAGGUCCCAAAGUCAUGGUUAAGUGGGAAACGAUGUGGGAAGGCCCAGACAGCCAGGAUGUUGGCUUAGAAGCAGCCAUCAUUUAAAGAAAGCGUAAUAGCUCACUGGUCGAGUCGGCCUGCGCGGAAGAUGUAACGGGGCUAAACCAUGCACCGAAGCUGCGGCAGCGANNNNNNNNNNUGCUGGAGGUAUCAGAAGUGCGAAUGCUGACAUAAGUAACGAUAAAGCGGGUGAAAAGCCCGCUCGCCGGAAGACCAAGGGUUCCUGUCCAACGUUAAUCGGGGCAGGGUGAGUCGACCCCUAAGGCGAGGCCGAAAGGCGUAGUCGAUGGGAAACGGGUUAAUAUUCCCGUACUUGGUGUUACUGCGAAGGGGGGACGGAGAAGGCUAUGUUGGCCGGGCGACGGUUGUCCCGGUUUAAGCGUGUAGGUGUGUGUUCCAGGUAAAUCCGGUUCACUUUAACACUGAGGCGUGACGACGAGGCACUACGGUGCUGAAGCAACAAAUGCCCUGCUUCCAGGAAAAGCCUCUAAGCAUCAGGUAACACGAAAUCGUACCCCAAACCGACACAGGUGGUCAGGUAGAGAAUACCAAGGCGCUUGAGAGAACUCGGGUGAAGGAACUAGGCAAAAUGGUGCCGUAACUUCGGGAGAAGGCACGCUGACACGUAGGUGAAGUGAUUUACUCACGGAGCUGAAGUCAGUCGAAGAUACCAGCUGGCUGCAACUGUUUAUUAAAAACACAGCACUGUGCAAACACGAAAGUGGACGUAUACGGUGUGACGCCUGCCCGGUGCCGGAAGGUUAAUUGAUGGGGUCAGCGUAAGCGAAGCUCCUGAUCGAAGCCCCGGUAAACGGCGGCCGUAACUAUAACGGUCCUAAGGUAGCGAAAUUCCUUGUCGGGUAAGUUCCGACCUGCACGAAUGGCGUAAUGAUGGCCAGGCUGUCUCCACCCGAGACUCAGUGAAAUUGAACUCGCUGUGAAGAUGCAGUGUACCCGCGGCAAGACGGAAAGACCCCGUGAACCUUUACUAUAGCUUGACACUGAACAUUGAGCCUUGAUGUGUAGGAUAGGUGGGAGGCUUUGAAGUGUGGACGCCAGUCUGCAUGGAGCCGACCUUGAAAUACCACCCUUUAAUGUUUGAUGUUCUAACGUGGACCCGUAAUCCGGGUUGCGGACAGUGUCUGGUGGGUAGUUUGACUGGGGCGGUCUCCUCCUAAAGAGUAACGGAGGAGCACGAAGGUUGGCUAAUCCUGGUCGGACAUCAGGAGGUUAGUGCAAUGGCAUAAGCCAGCUUGACUGCGAGCGUGACGGCGCGAGCAGGUGCGAAAGCAGGUCAUAGUGAUCCGGUGGUUCUGAAUGGAAGGGCCAUCGCUCAACGGAUAAAAGGUACUCCGGGGAUAACAGGCUGAUACCGCCCAAGAGUUCAUAUCGACGGCGGUGUUUGGCACCUCGAUGUCGGCUCAUCACAUCCUGGGGCUGAAGUAGGUCCCAAGGGUAUGGCUGUUCGCCAUUUAAAGUGGUACGCGAGCUGGGUUUAGAACGUCGUGAGACAGUUCGGUCCCUAUCUGCCGUGGGCGCUGGAGAACUGAGGGGGGCUGCUCCUAGUACGAGAGGACCGGAGUGGACGCAUCACUGGUGUUCGGGUUGUCAUGCCAAUGGCACUGCCCGGUAGCUAAAUGCGGAAGAGAUAAGUGCUGAAAGCAUCUAAGCACGAAACUUGCCCCGAGAUGAGUUCUCCCUGAGACUUAGAGUCUCCUGAAGGAACGUUGAAGACGACGACGUUGAUAGGCCGGGUGUGUAAGCGCAGCGAUGCGUUGAGCUAACCGGUACUAAUGAACCGUGAGGCUUAACC